UGGGGAAUAUUGGACAAUGGGCGGAAGCCUGAUCCAGCAACGCCGCGUGAGGGAUGACGGCCUUCGGGUUGUAAACCUCUUUCAGUACCGACGAAGCGAAAGUGACGGUAGGUACAGAAGAAGGACCGGCCAACUACGUGCCAGCAGCCGCGGUAAUACGUAGGGUCCGAGCGUUGUCCGGAAUUAUUGGGCGUAAAGGGCUCGUAGGCGGUUUGUCGCGUCGGGAGUGAAAACAGCGGGCUUAACUCGUUGCUUGCUUUCGAUACGGGGCAGACUAGAGGUAUGCAGGGGAGAAUGGAAUUCCUGGUGUAGCGGUGAAAUGCGCAGAUAUCAGGAGGAACACCGGUGGCGAAGGCGGUUCUCUGGGCAUUACCUGACGCUGAGGAGCGAAAGUGUGGGGAGCGAACAGGAUUAGAUACCCUGGUAGUCCACACCGUAAACGUUGGGCGCUAGGUGUGGGGUCCUUUCCACGGAUUCCGUGCCGUA
Molecule: ribosomal RNA, 486 nt
Filed under: uncultured bacterium
Lineage: Bacteria
Description: partial 16S ribosomal RNA
Rfam family: Bacterial small subunit ribosomal RNA
Source: RNAcentral